AUUGAACGCUGGCGGCAGGCCUAACACAUGCAAGUCGAACGAGUGGCGGACGGGUGAGUAAUGUCUGGGAAUCUGCCCUAUGGAGGGGGAUAACGACGGGAAACUGUCGCUAAUACCGCAUACCAUAGGAUGUGCCCAAGUGGGAUUAGGUAGUUGGUGGGGUAAUGGCCUACCUAGGCGACGAUCUCUAGCUGGUCUGAGAGGAUGACCAGCCACACCGGGACUGAGACACGGCCCGGACUCCUACGGGAGGCAGCAGUGGGGAAUAUUGCACAAUGGGGGCAACCCUGACGCAGCCAUGCCGCGUGAAUGAAGAAGGCCUUCGGGUUGUAAAGUUCUUUCGGUGAGGAGGCGUUAAUCACAGAAGAAGCACCGGCUAACUCCGUGCCAGCAGCCGCGGUAAUAC
RNAcentral lists this ribosomal RNA (406 nucleotides) under uncultured bacterium. Its description in RNAcentral is "partial 16S ribosomal RNA". It matches the Rfam family "Bacterial small subunit ribosomal RNA", at positions 30 to 526 of the family's 1533-position model. The record is from RNAcentral.